RNAcentral lists this unclassified non-coding RNA (483 nucleotides) under Hevea brasiliensis (rubber tree). Lineage: Eukaryota; Viridiplantae; Streptophyta; Magnoliopsida; Malpighiales; Euphorbiaceae. The record is from RNAcentral.
GCUUCUAUUUUCUCCUCCGUUUUCUUCUGAGAACAUGGAAGCUACCGCAAUGCGACCAAACGCUGCCAAGCUUCUGGUGAACUGCUCAACGCCGGUGUCAUUUCUUCAGCCGCCGUCUGCUGCCGGAGUUGUCUUCCUCGUUCCAAAAUAUGUUCGAUUGACUUCCUCAUUUAAGACGUUCAUGAUUGCCCGAGCUUCCGACCCUAAAACUGACCAAGCAAGUCCGAGCACUGAUGAACCUGGCCUUCCUUUCCUACCGCAGGAGGAUUCGAAUUUUUUGGUGAAACUGGGAGUAGGUUCAGUGGCGGGAGGAGCAGCGAUAAAGUACGGAAGUGUAAUUUUCUCAGAGAUAACAACACCAAACAUUUCAUUAGCUCUGUUUAUGAUAACAGCUCCGAUGAUUGUUGCGGUGGUGCUAUUAUUCUUACAAAGCCGUACAGAUUCAACUUCUGCGUGAACAAAGCUCUUCUUCUUCUGUACUAA